This 1846-nucleotide long non-coding RNA is filed under the name Mus musculus (house mouse). Its description in RNAcentral is "long non-coding RNA chr10:117685498-117687344". The record is from RNAcentral. Lineage: Eukaryota; Metazoa; Chordata; Mammalia; Rodentia; Muridae.
AUAUCAAUAGUCUGCAUAGCUUUUUAACCGCUUCUAAAUUUGGAAAUAGCAUGAGUAUCUUGAUCAUUUUAUUUAAAUAAGCAUUAACUUAUAUCCCAGAAGGCGCGUAUUAAUAGUUCAAAAAGGGAUCUGGGUAUAUUACAUUUGAAGUAUAUAUAUAAGACGAAGCCAGGUGUGGUGGUGAACUAUUAUCCCAGCGCUUGGGAGGCUGAGGCAAGAUCGACACAGCUCAAGGCUAGCCUGGACUAGCCAUCUUAGAAAAGCAAAACCAGUAAGAUAUGUAAGAGCAAACUUGGUUCGCCAUCAGCUGGUGUUCUGAGUUCUGACUGGUUGACCCUUUCCUAAGAUUCCGUGAAAGGAAAUGAGCUGUUCGCUGAGCUGCUCAUGGGCCUAACCGGAGACUUGGUACUGAAACAACUUGCAAGUGCCCGUGUCUUACCAGAGACUGUGCCAGGGCUUUGCACAGGGCCAUUGAGCCACAGCUACGUCUUUAUUUUGUUACUUUUUGUUCAGACACAGCAUUUCACUAAGCUGUGUAGCCUGCACUUGGAACUCAUAGUAAGCCAAACUGGCUUUGGAUCUGCCUGCCGUAGACGCUGGAGUAGCUAUUACAGACCUGGUCCGCUGUGUCCAUAUUCAGGUUACAUUACUUAAAUCAGAAAUAUAUAUCAAAACCCAGUGUAAAAAUCACUAAAACAGGGUGAGGGGUGUAGCUCAGUGACAGUGUACUUAGCAUAUGCAAAGGCUUGGGUCUAAUCUCCAUUAACUACCCCCAAGACAAAACAUAACCAGGAAAUUAUUCUGUUGCCCUCUGCCAGGUAGAGAAAGCAGAAGGAAUACUUGGGUCUGUAACUGUUUUGAAAGCAAUAUACCUUACUAAAGGUGACCUGAAAACGGAAAUGCUGGUUACCAAAAACCACGUCCUUUUCAAGGAAACUUUCACAAAGUGCCUAGUUUACAUGCGUGCCCAUUUUUGAAUUGAGAUGGUAAAAUCCUAGCACCCAGGCAGCAGAGGCAGGUGGAUCUCUGUGAGUUCAAGGCCAGUCUUUUCUACAGAGUUCUGGGACCGCCAGGGCUACGCAGAAAAACCCCCGUUUCAAACAAGCAAAAACAGUCCCAGUUUUCUCAGACUCUGCCUGUACUAAAAUGGUAUUAACAUCAGAUCUGCUUUCCAAUGUAUGAGCUGAAGCUGGGUUGAGACGUAUCUGUUUCUAGGAAAAAUAUACAAAGCCAUAUAGCACACUUAUUUUCCUAUUGCAACAGGAGUUUCAUUCUCAGUCUCGGAGGGGGCAUCUAGUGAAGGUUUGUGAGCUCAAUUCUGCCUUCCUGGUGACCUCAGGUACGGGAGAGAAUGAUGCUGGAUUAGGUGAAGAGCAUCGGGUUCUUGGUGCCUACAACAGAUUCUUCACCGAGUUUGUUCUAGACUUGCAUCACUAAUAAGAUGCUGUACUGUGUCUCACAGGCCGUUUAAUCAAACCUUAAGCUCACAAGCCAACCCACAGCUCUGUGCGAGAGACUUCAUGCGGGUUUUUGUUUAACAAGCUUCUAAGUGAUUCCUGCCAUUAAAAGCACAGAAGCAGAAGCUAUUAAAGGUGCCCAGGUUGAGUGGUGGCAGUGCUGGACCACGCCUUUAAUCCCAGUACUCCAGAGGCAGAGGCAGAGGGGACUCUGAGUUCAAAUCCAGCCUGCCUGGUCUACACAGUGAGUUCCAAGACAGCCAGGGCUACACAGAAAAAUAAAUAAAUUCUCAGAUUAUCUAAGAUUACAACGUUUGCUUGGGAGGGACCAUGACUACCUCUGAGCUUAUUUUAUUUACAUUAUCUGAUUAUCAAUAAAGAAUAUUCAU